GUUCAGAGAGUUGAGAGCAGUGAGGGUCCUCUCUAAUCUCUACCCAUCCUGGAGGUGCAUCGUCUCGUACUCUGAAUAUAACUUCGGAUACUUAACACAGAGCCCUGUUUUGUUAUGGUAGAGUGCAGGAGAAAGAGUGCUGUGGAUCCAGUUUAGAUCAAUCCUUAAAUAAAGAGGAGCAGGAUGACUUGCGUGCCAUCUGGCAAUAGUUCCUCGUCCAGUUUUUCAACUAAGUGGCAUUUGAGCUGCUAUAUUGUAGCCGUUACUAAACUUAAUCCCAUCGAUACAC
Molecule: long non-coding RNA, 289 nt
Filed under: Rattus norvegicus (Norway rat)
Lineage: Eukaryota; Metazoa; Chordata; Mammalia; Rodentia; Muridae
Description: long non-coding RNA NONRATT032775
Source: RNAcentral